GGUCCAUAGUGUAGUGGUUAGCAAUUUGGACUCUGAAUCCAACAGCUCGGGUUCGAAUCCCGGUAGAACCU
Molecule: non-coding RNA, 71 nt
Organism: Perkinsus olseni
Lineage: Eukaryota; Perkinsozoa; Perkinsida; Perkinsidae
Source: the annotation of a GenBank genome assembly